GGGGGUGUAGCUUAGUGGUAGAGCGCUUGCCUAGUUCCCGAAAUCCUGAGUUCCAUCUCAAGCACCCCCA
This 70-nucleotide transfer RNA is filed under the name Heterocephalus glaber (naked mole-rat). It matches the Rfam family "tRNA". From Rfam's summary of the family: Transfer RNA (tRNA) molecules are approximately 80 nucleotides in length. Their secondary structure includes four short double-helical elements and three loops (D, anti-codon, and T loops). Further hydrogen bonds mediate the characteristic L-shaped molecular structure. tRNAs have two regions of fundamental functional importance: the anti-codon, which is responsible for specific mRNA codon recognition, and the 3' end, to which the tRNAs corresponding amino acid is attached (by aminoacyl-tRNA synthetases). tRNAs cope with the degeneracy of the genetic code in two manners: having more than one tRNA (with a specific anti-codon) for a particular amino acid; and 'wobble' base-pairing, i.e. permitting non-standard base-pairing at the 3rd anti-codon position. The record is from Rfam by way of RNAcentral. Lineage: Eukaryota; Metazoa; Chordata; Mammalia; Rodentia; Bathyergidae.